UCGAGUUUGUAAGGGUUUUCAACCCUCACCCUCGCCCAACGCAGGACGUUCGGUAAUCAUUUGGCGCUUACAGUGCCAGCGUUUCACGCAAACCAAAACUCACAAUAAAUCUAAUAAUCUGAAUGUCUUAUUGAAUAAAUCA
RNAcentral lists this unclassified non-coding RNA (142 nucleotides) under uncultured fungus. Its description in RNAcentral is "sequence contains ITS1". The record is from RNAcentral. Lineage: Eukaryota; Fungi.